UACAGAGGUCCCAAGCGUUGUUCGGAUUCAUUGGGCGUAAAGGGUGCGUAGGUGGCGCGCUAAGUCGGGUGUGAAAUUUCGGAGCUUAACUCCGAAACUGCAUUCGAUACUGGUGUGCUUGAGGACUGGAGAGGAGACUGGAAUUCAUGGUGUAGCAGUGAAAUGCGUAGAGAUCAUGAGGAAGACCAGUGGCGAAGGCGGGUCUCUGGACAGUUCCUGACGCUGAGGCACGAAGGCCAGGGGAGCAAACGGG
This 253-nucleotide ribosomal RNA is filed under the name uncultured bacterium. RNAcentral describes it as "partial 16S ribosomal RNA". It matches the Rfam family "Bacterial small subunit ribosomal RNA", at positions 524 to 776 of the family's 1533-position model. The record is from RNAcentral.